GAAGGUAUAGCCCAAAUGGUAGAGUGCGUGCUUAGAAUGCAUGAGAUCCUGGGUUCAAUCCCCAGUACCUCCU
RNAcentral lists this transfer RNA (73 nucleotides) under Camelus bactrianus (Bactrian camel). It matches the Rfam family "tRNA". Rfam says of the family: Transfer RNA (tRNA) molecules are approximately 80 nucleotides in length. Their secondary structure includes four short double-helical elements and three loops (D, anti-codon, and T loops). RNAcentral also lists the same sequence under 3 other names. The record is from Rfam by way of RNAcentral. Lineage: Eukaryota; Metazoa; Chordata; Mammalia; Artiodactyla; Camelidae.